RNAcentral lists this ribosomal RNA (252 nucleotides) under uncultured bacterium. RNAcentral describes it as "partial 16S ribosomal RNA". It matches the Rfam family "Bacterial small subunit ribosomal RNA", at positions 524 to 776 of the family's 1533-position model. The record is from RNAcentral.
UACGGGGGGGUAAGCGUUGUUCGGAAUUACUGGGCGUAAAGGGCUCGUAGGCGGCCAACUAAGUCAGACGUGAAAUCCCCAGGCUCAACCUGGGAACUGCGUCUGAUACUGGAUGGCUUGAAUCCGGGAGAGGGAUGCGGAAUUCCAGGUGUAGCGGUGAAAUGCGUAGAUAUCUGGAGGAACACCGGUGGCGAAGGCGGCAUCCUGGACCGACACUGACACUGAGGAGCGAAAGCCAGGGGAGCAAACGGG